UGUAUAUAUGUGUAUGUAUAUGUGUAUUUACAGGGCCAGAUUAAUAGCCCAGUGGGCCUGGUGCUGAAAAUUAUGAGGGGCCUAAGUACAGAAUCUUAUCGACCAAAAACACUAAAACAGUCAUAUCUCUCAAGCAUUAUGUAUCUGGUGGAGAUGUUGCCGGAGGGAAACUCAUAGGAUGCAGCUAUAAAAAAAAACUCAGAUUCUUUUAAAUAUGCUAAUCUCUCUCUAAUUCAUGCUUUCAUCUUUCAGGUAAAUCCAUACCUCUUAAUAGCAGUGUCCAGUGAAGCAGGAAGUCAAUGAGCGGUGUAAAAGGGUGGGCCACAGACGCGGAUCAUGUAACCAGAACUUCCGAAAGGGCCGAACAUGCCCCAAAAGUAGGCGUGUCUGCCCAAAGAAUUGGAAGGCUAGCCUGGCAUGAAUGUAUGUCAGGCUGCUGGCCAACAGCAUCAUGAGCUUGGCAUAAAAGCGUCUAAUGAUGCACUCGCUCCAUGCUUGCUAAGGACUUUCCCCUAGCACUCACAUGUCCACUUGUCUCCUUACCUUCUUACUAGCAGAGAGAAACUCCUGGUAUACAGUCUGAGACAGAGAAAAGGUGGAUGUAGUAAGUGUAGAAGAAAGCAAACAUGCCACAGUGUUAGAGAGACCAAAGUCAGCAUUAUCUUAAAGGACCACUCUAGGCACCCAGACCAGAGUAACUGCUAUGUUUAUAAAUGGGUUAAUCCAUGCUCCAAAUCCUCUAGCGGCUGUCUCAUUGACAGCCGCUAGAGGCGCUUGCGUGAUUCUCACUGUGAAAAUCACAGUGAGAACACGCAAGCGUCCAUAGGAAAGCAUUAUGAAUACUUUCCUAUGAGACCGGCUGAAAGCGCGCGCAGCUCUUGCCACGUGUGCGCAUUCAGCCGAAGGGGAGGAUCGGAGGCGGAGAGGAGGAGGAGGAGAGCUCCCCGUCCGGCGGUGGAAAAAAGGUAAGUUUUACCCCUUUCCUCUCACCAGAGCCCAGCAGGAGGGGGACUCUGAGGGUGGGGGCACCCUCAGGGCACUAUAGUGCCAGGAAAACGAGUAUGUUUUCCUGACACUAUAGUGGUCCUUUAACUAAUUUCAUUUCAGUUAGUCCACACAAGUUAUGUUUCCAUAUAUCCCUCUUAAGUUUCCAUACUUAAGCAAGAGUGGUUAGGGUUGACACCUUUCUUGGAAAAAAAUACAGGCCUUACUAAUUUGCAUAACUAAUUAUGUAUGUGUGACAUCACAUGAUGUAAAACACAAGGAAUGACAAAUAAAAUUCUGUGAAAUCACCAAAAAAACUACUUGGUUUGAUUCUGCUGUAUAGAUGGAUUGUUCCCAGUGUCUCCCUGUCUCCCAGUGUCCCCAUGUCACUCACUGUCCCCUAGUGUCUGUGUCCCCAAGACACUAGGGGACACUGAGACACUUGGGGAGAUUCGGGGACACUGAGAUUAUGUAUCACAGUGUCUCAGUGCCCCAUGUCUCUUAGUGUCCCCAUGUCUCCUGGGGACACUGGGAGACAUGGGGACACUGAGACACUAGGGACACUGGGAGACAUGUGCACACAGACACUAGGUACACUGGGAGACAUGGGGACACUGAGAGAGCAGGGACACUGGCUGGGAAACAUUGGGAACAUUGUGUCCCUAGUGUCUGUGUCUCCGUGUCUCCCAAUGUCCCCAAGUGUCUCAUUGUCCCCAUGUGUGUGUGUGUUUCCCCAUGUCUCAGUGUCCCCAUGUGUGUCUGUGUCCCCAUGUCUCCCAGGAUCCCCUAGUGUCUCAGUGUUCCCAGGUCUCAGUGUCCCCUAGUGUUUCAGUGUCCCCAUGUAUGUGUGUGUGUCCAUGUCUCAGUGUCCCCAUAUGUGUCUGUGUCCUCGUGUCUCCAAGUGUCUCAGCGUCCUCAGUGAGCUUCAUGUGUCCCCAUGUCUCAUAGUGUCCCCUAGUGUUUCAGUGUCCCCAUGUUUCCCUGCAGCCUUUACCCCAUCCCUCACUUCCCUGAGCUGUAGGCUGUGUCUGCAGGCUUGGCGCUGCUGUCUUGACUCACUGUGCUGUGUAGCUGCUCCCCCGCAGAUCAGUGAGUGGAGAGAUGCAGGUAUAUGCUGUAACUUCCACACACACAGUGGCCCCUACUGGCCGGUAAUGGUAAUCUCUUUAUACUGAGAAAAAUACCGGUAUUAAUGCAAUAUCAGCACCGGCCAGGCUGCCUUAAAUAAAUACUGGUAGUACUGAGUAGUGUGUAAAAUAAAU
Non-coding RNA from Pelobates cultripes (western spadefoot toad), 2246 nucleotides. The record is from the annotation of a GenBank genome assembly. NCBI's taxonomy places the organism in Eukaryota, Metazoa, Chordata, Amphibia, Anura, Pelobatidae.